RNAcentral lists this ribosomal RNA (497 nucleotides) under uncultured bacterium. Its description in RNAcentral is "partial 16S ribosomal RNA". It matches the Rfam family "Bacterial small subunit ribosomal RNA", at positions 28 to 507 of the family's 1533-position model. The record is from RNAcentral.
GAUGAACGCUGGCGGCGUGCCUAAUACAUGCAAGUCGAGCGAACGGACGAGAAGCUUGCUUCUCUGAUUUUAUCGGCGGACGGGUGAGUAACACGUGGUUAACCUACCUAUAAGACUGGGAUAACUUUGGGAAACCGUAGCUACUACCCGAUAAUUUUUUGAACCUCAUUGUUCAAGAGUUAAAGACGGUCUUUCUUUCACUUAUAGAUGGAUCCGGGCUUCAUUAGUUAGUUGGUAAGGUAACUGCUUACCAAGGCAACGAUGCAUAGCCGACCCGAGAGGGAGAUCGCCUAGACGGGAUGUGAGAAUCGUUACAGACACCUACAGGAGGCCGCAGUAGGGACUCUUACGGAAUGGGCGAAAGCCUGACGUAGCAACGUCGCGUGAGUGCUGAAGCACUAAGGAUCGGAAAGCUCUGAUAUUAGGGAAGUACAUAUGUGUAAGUACCUGUGAACAUAUUGACGGUACCGAAUCAGAAAGCCACGGCUAACUACGUG